Molecule: small RNA, 79 nt
Filed under: Flavobacterium sp. 123
Lineage: Bacteria; Pseudomonadati; Bacteroidota; Flavobacteriia; Flavobacteriales; Flavobacteriaceae
Description: Flavo-1 RNA
Rfam family: Flavo-1 RNA
Source: Rfam by way of RNAcentral
GAUUUGCGUUAGGGAUGGAAGCGGCAUCCUUUUGUGAAGCGAAGCGGAACAAAAGAUAUAGCGGACAGCCCGACCCGAA